UACGUAGGGCGCAAGCGUUGUCCGGAAUUAUUGGGCGUAAAGAGCUCGUAGGUGGCUUGUCGCGUCUGCCGUGAAAUCCUGUGGCUUAACUGCGGGUCUGCGGUGGAUACGGGCUGGCUUGAGGUAGGUAGGGGCAAGCGGAAUUCCUGGUGUAGCGGUGAAAUGCGCAGAUAUCAGGAGGAACACCGGUGGCGAAGGCGGCUUGCUGGGCCUUACCUGACGCUGAGGAGCGAAAGCGUGGGGAGCGAACAGG
RNAcentral lists this ribosomal RNA (253 nucleotides) under uncultured bacterium. RNAcentral's name for it is "partial 16S ribosomal RNA". It matches the Rfam family "Bacterial small subunit ribosomal RNA", at positions 524 to 776 of the family's 1533-position model. The record is from RNAcentral.